GAAGAAAGAGGGAGGUGUGAUUAACACAUGCAAGUCGAACGGUGAAGCGCCUUCCUUUUUGGUGGGUGUGGAUGAGUGGCGAACGGGUGAGUAACACGUGAGUAACCUGCCCCCUUCUUCUGGAUAACCGCAUGAAAGUGUGGCUAAUACGGGAUAUUCUGGGUCUGUCGCAUGAUGGGUCUGGGAAAGAUAUUGUUUCGGUGGGGGAUGGGCUCGCGGCCUAUCAGCUUGUUGGUGGGGUGAUGGCCUACCAAGGCGGUGACGGGUAGCCGGCCUGAGAGGGUGGACGGUCACACUGGGACUGAGACACGGACCAGACUCCUACGGGAGGCAGCAGUGGGGAAUAUUGCACAAUGGGCGCAAGCCUGAUGCAGCGACGCCGCGUGAGGGAUGGAGGCCUUCGGGUUGUGAACCUCUUUCGCCAGUGAAGCAGGCCUGCCUCGUUUGUGGGUGGGUUGACGGUAGCUGGAGAAGAAGCGCCGGCUAACUACGUG
This 494-nucleotide ribosomal RNA is filed under the name uncultured bacterium. RNAcentral describes it as "partial 16S ribosomal RNA". It matches the Rfam family "Bacterial small subunit ribosomal RNA", at positions 38 to 507 of the family's 1533-position model. The record is from RNAcentral.